UCAAGUCGGCGAUUUCCACGGCGGCUUCAGAAAAGGACACGCGGAAAUGUUGAAAGUGUGAUUUGGAGCAGAAUCCGUGACGGCCGAAGGUGGUCGAGCUUAGUGACGGUAGAGGCGGCGAGUAAGUUUUGUGGGUUUAUGAAAAAAAAAGGAAAAGAGACGGAGGGUUUCGGUGGUUGAGCGAUUUGGGUUGUUCUGCGGAGGUGUAAUGAUGGAAGAUGGUGGUCGAUGAAGGUUGAUGGUCGAUGAAGGUCGAAGGUUUGUGUGGU
RNAcentral lists this long non-coding RNA (269 nucleotides) under Lathyrus oleraceus (garden pea). RNAcentral describes it as "Pisum sativum (pea) long non-coding RNA (PSAT_LNC030102)". The record is from RNAcentral. Lineage: Eukaryota; Viridiplantae; Streptophyta; Magnoliopsida; Fabales; Fabaceae.